RNAcentral lists this ribosomal RNA (530 nucleotides) under uncultured bacterium. Its description in RNAcentral is "bacterial SSU rRNA". It matches the Rfam family "Bacterial small subunit ribosomal RNA", at positions 355 to 896 of the family's 1533-position model. The record is from RNAcentral.
UAGGGAAUUUUCGGCAAUGGACGAAAGUCUGACCGAGCAAUGCAGCGUGAACGAAGAAGUAUUUCGGUAUGUAAAGUUCUUUUAUUAGGGACGAAAAAGUCGUAAGACAAUUGACGGUACCUAAUGAAUAAGCUCCGGCUAACUACGUGCCAGCAGCCGCGGUAAUACGUAGGGAGCGAGCGUUAUCCGGAAUUAUUGGGCGUAAAGGGUUCGUAGGUGGCAUAAUAAGUCUAUAGUUAAAGUUCGGGGCUCAACCCCGUGAUGCUAUAGAAACUGUUAAGCUCGAAUAUAGGAGAGGAUAAUGGAAUUCCAUGUGUAGCGGUAAAAUGCGUAAAUAUAUGGAGGAACACCAGUGGCGAAAGCGAUUAUCUGGACUAAGAUUGACACUAAGGAACGAAAGCGUGGGGAGCAAACAGGAUUAGAUACCCUGGUAGUCCACGCCGUAAACGAUGAGUAUUAAGUGUUACCGUGAGGUAGUGCUGAAGUUAACGCAUUAAAUACUCCGCCUGAGUAGUACGUACGCAAGUAUG